Molecule: ribosomal RNA, 761 nt
Filed under: uncultured bacterium
Lineage: Bacteria
Description: bacterial SSU rRNA
Rfam family: Bacterial small subunit ribosomal RNA
Source: RNAcentral
AGAGUUUGAUCCUGGCUCAGCCUGAACGCUGGCGGCGUGGCUAAGACAUGCAAGUCGUACGGGUGUAGCAAUACACCAGUGGCGAACGGGUGAGUAAUGUAUCGCUAACGUGCCCUUCGGUUUGGGAUAGCCGUCCGAAAGGACGGGUAAUACCGGGUAAGACCACAAUCCCGCAUGGGAUGGUGCUCAAAGGGAAACCGCCGAAGGAGCGGGCGAUAUCGUAUCAGCUAGUUGGUGAGGUAACGGCUCACCAAGGCGACGACGCGUAGCCGGGCUGAGAGGUCGGCCGGCCACAUUGGGACUGAGACACUGCCCAGACUCCUACGGGGGGCUGCAGUAACGAAUCUUCCGCAAUGCACGCAAGUGUGACGGAGCGACGCCGCGUGGAGGACGAAGUUCUUCGGAAUGUAAACUCCUGUCAGGGGCAGCCAAGUUCUGAGGCGCCCCAGAGGAAGGCACGGCUAACUCUGUGCCAGCAGCCGCGGUAAGACAGAGGUGCCAAGCGUUAGGCGGAAUCACUGGGCUUAAAGCGUGUGUAGGCGGGCGGGCAAGUACCUUGUGAAAUCCCACGGCUCAACCGUGGAACGGCUGGGUAUACUGCCUGUCUUGAGCCAGCUAGGGGCGACCGGAACAGACGGUGGAGCGGUGAAAUGCGUAGAUAUCGUCUGGAACGCCAAAGGUGAAAACAGGUCGCUGGGGCUGAGCUGACGCUGAGACACGAAAGCCAGGGGAGCGAACGGGAUUAGAUACCCCCGUAGUCC